RNAcentral lists this ribosomal RNA (425 nucleotides) under uncultured bacterium. RNAcentral describes it as "bacterial SSU rRNA". It matches the Rfam family "Bacterial small subunit ribosomal RNA", at positions 356 to 773 of the family's 1533-position model. The record is from RNAcentral.
GGGGAAUUUUGGACAAUGGGCGCAAGCCUGAUCCAGCAAUGCCGCGUGCAGGAUGAAGGCCUUCGGGUUGUAAACUGCUUUUGUACGGAACGAAAAAGCUCUCUCUAAUACAGGGGGUGAAUGACGGUACCGUAAGAAUAAGCACCGGCUAACUACGUGCCAGCAGCCGCGGUAAUACGUAGGGUGCAAGCGUUAAUCGGAAUUACUGGGCGUAAAGCGUGCGCAGGCGGUUUUGUAAGACAGAGGUGAAAUCCCCGGGCGCAACCUGGGAACUGCCUUUGUGACUGCAAAGCUGGAGUGCGGCAGAGGGGGAUGGAAUUCCGCGUGUAGCAGUGAAAUGCGUAGAUAUGCGGAGGAACACCGAUGGCGAAGGCAAUCCCCUGGGCCUGCACUGACGCUCAUGCACGAAAGCGUGGGGAGCAAAC